UACGGAGGAUCCGAGCGUUAUCCGGAUUUAUUGGGUUUAAAGGGUGCGUAGGUGGAUUGAUAAGUCAGUGGUGAAAGUUUGCAGCUUAACUGUAAAAUUGCCGUUGAAACUGUCGGUCUUGAGUGCAAAUGAGGUAGGCGGAAUGUGUUGUGUAGCGGUGAAAUGCUUAGAUAUAACACAGAACUCCGAUUGCGAAGGCAGCUUACUGGGAUGCAACUGACACUGAUGCACGAAAGCGUGGGUAUCAAACAGG
This 253-nucleotide ribosomal RNA is filed under the name uncultured bacterium. RNAcentral's name for it is "partial 16S ribosomal RNA". It matches the Rfam family "Bacterial small subunit ribosomal RNA", at positions 524 to 776 of the family's 1533-position model. The record is from RNAcentral.